Ictalurus punctatus (channel catfish) is the source of this 4713-nucleotide long non-coding RNA. Lineage: Eukaryota; Metazoa; Chordata; Actinopteri; Siluriformes; Ictaluridae. The record is from Ensembl.
CGACAACAACAGCAGUGACGAUAUUUAGUGGAAGGAUGGGGAAAUUAAUGAAUUACACAAUAUAGCCAAAAGUAUGUGGACACCUGACCAUCAUACACAUAUGUGCUUCUUCCCCAAACUGUUACCACAAAGUUGGAAGCACAUAAUUGUAUAGAAUGUCAUGCCUUCCCUUCCCUUGAAUUUCCCUUCAAUGCAACUAAGAUGCCCAAACCUGUUCCAGCACAACGACGCCCGUGUGCAAAGCCAGCUCCACGGUGUAUUAAGGUUGGAGUGGAAGAACUCGAGUGUCCUGCACAGAGCCCUGACGUUAACCCCACUGAACACCUUUGGGAUGAAAUGAAAUGGCAACUUUGCGCUAGCCCUUCUUGCCGAAAAUCAGUUCCUGAACUCUUGUGGUCUUGGUGGUGAAUGGACACAUCUCCAUACCCACGCUCCAAAAUCUAGUGAAAUAGUCUUAGAAGAGUCUGUUAUAGCAGCAAAGGUGGAACAUCUCCAUAUUAAUGCACAUGGUUUUGGAAUGGGAUGUUCAAUACUCAGGUGUCCACCUACUUUUGAUCAUACAGUGUACUCGAUAUUUGAGGAAUCAAUUCAAGUAAAGGUGAAAAAAGGAAUCUACUGAAACUGAGUACUGAUGGAAAACUAUUGCCUGCGAAUUGCCUAAGUGUUCUCAUUAACGACAGAUAUGGAUCACUUGUGGUUAUGAACGUGAUCUUUUAAAGGAGACAGAUACGAUCUGACGUGCACUGCGGAUGUACUGAACAUCCUUUUAACACACUCAAUAGUGUUUGUAUUUACUCUUUGACAUUGUAUACUAUAACGAUUUAGAACCGCAUUAUCUAUCACCCAGACGAGGACGGGUUGUGCCUCCGCCCUGCGUGUUUGGAGUUUGCAUGUUCUCCCUGUGCUUCGGGGGUUUCCUCUGGGUACUCCGGUUCCCUCCCCAUUCCAAAGACAUGCGUUGUAGGCUGAUUAUCUCUAAAUUGUCCGUAGUGUGUGAAUGUGUGUGUGAUUGUUUUCUGCGAUGGGUUGAGUUCCCAGGGAUAGACUCCAGGCUCUCGCACGACCCUGCGUCGGAUAAGCGGCACAGAAAAUGGAUGGAUGGAUGUUUGCAGCACAAAAAAAACAUGCCACUCCAUCUUGAAAGGAACUUUCUGCAAAUGCCCGCAUUACUGUUGACUUCUUUCUUUUUUUUUUUAUGGAACUGCAAAUGAUGCACGAAAAAUACCCCUCGCAUGCAAAAACUAUUUUUCAUGAACAAAAAGCAAAGGAAUGAACAUGCACGAAAAGAAGCGACGCUGAAAUAUGUUUAUAAUUUGUACUUCUAUGACCUUUUUUGCCUAAAAUAAACCCAAAGUUGAGAUUAUCAGCACUCAUACUGGAAUCUCCCUCGGUCUGCCUCUUACUGUAAACCGCAUUGCCUCAGAACUCACGUGCUCUCUUUCCCAUUAAAGCGCACAUCGAUAGAGUUUCAGAAUUACAUCCUGGCGAACGCUUGAGACAACCUGAGAAACCACGGGAGUGCUUUUAAGUAGUGCAUUUAACACAUUUAACUCGGGCAGAUUGUCUGGCAUUUGAAAGAUACCAGCCCGUGUUGUCCACAGCCCACCCCAACCCGCCCGUCGAUAUUGUGGUUCCUGUGAGCGAUGUCACCGACACUGUUAGAGAAGUCCAGGGUCAGGGGUCAUUCCCUGGGAAAAAUCAGAAGGUCACCAUGGAGCACGUCGGGAAAGCGGAUGGCAUCAACAACACUGUUGGGUCUAUUUUCAUCUACUCCCCCGGGAUGGUGAUCCUCGGCUCGAACUCGAACGAGAAAAAAGAGGAGGCGGAGACGGGCACAGAAGACAUCGGCGAAGACACCUGUCUCAUGAGCGUGCCUCAGCAGGAAUCCAGCUCCGAAGAAGACUUCGUCAGAAUGGCUACACAGGAAGAGUUUGGCAAGGAGCUGAGCAUUCCAGUUCCGGCCACGAGCAAAUGAAAUGUCCGGGCCUGAACACAGACGUCGGCUCAAGCAAAGGAAUAUAUGAACCAGGAUGGGGCCUUACAAGUCACGGAGCCUCUUUGCUGGCCCGUGAAGUGUAGAAAACUUGUCCUGUUUCAGCAGCGAGGCUGUGAAUAGGGCUGAGUUUGUUUGUAUAGCACUGUGACUUUCAGGGUUUUUUCUUUCUCAGUGUGGGAGGCUGUGCGAAGACAGUGACGGAAUAAGAAAAACUCCCAGGUUGCUAUAGUGAUAAGAUGUACUGUAAAUAUUAAUAUAUUAGAAUAUUAUGAUAUAACAAUAUAAUUAGAAAUAUCAGUCUAUUUUAUUUUAUUUUUACAGUCAUUAGACACCUUUGUGUUUGAGUACAGCUUUACCUGUGAGUUGGACAGACAGACACAGAGACAGGUGGGCCAACAGGCCGUGUUUUACUGAUGAAGUGUGGGUGCACAAGCACGCAGAGCUAAAAAUACCUCAAUGUGGGAUAAAAAGACUGCUGAAUGUCAGCGGCAUUCACUUUAACCUGCAUGUUUCAGUCACGUAUUACUGUGCAUGUCCCGGCAGGACCCAAUGAGCUGCUGUUCUGUAUUACUGUGCAGUUGUCUAUUUUUCUUUUCAAGCUGUUCAGAUUUCUAUCAAUUCAUUUGCUAGGGUUUAUUAUAAUCCAAAGCAUCUUACAGUCGAGGGAAAUAAGUAUUGAACACGUCAGCAUUUUAUUCAGUAAAUAUAUUUCCAACGAGGCUAGUCACAUGAAAUUUUCAACAGAUAUCGGUAUUAACUCAAGAAAUCCGGAAAUAUAAAGACUUCACAACAUUAAACUCCAUAAAUAAGGUUAUGUGUAAUAAAGUGGAAUGACACAGGAAAAAAGUAUUGAACACGUUAAGAAAAAGCAGUUCUCCAAGGCAAAGUAAGGCAAGGAACCAGUUGAAAUCCGUAAGUAAUUAUACCCCUAUCUGUGCAAAUUAAUAUCUGCUGGGUUAGUACAUUGAUGGUCUAUAAAAAGGCUUUUCGUGUCACACAAGAAACAUCUCACGAUGGGUAAAAACCAAGAGGUCUCCCAAGACUUUUGCAACAUUAUUGUUACUAAACAUAUUGAUGGAAUCAGAUACAGAGCACCAUUGAGUUAAUACUGGUGUCUGGUGAAAAUUUCAUGUGAAUAGCCUCAUGUAAUAUAAUUAAUAUAUAAAUAUAAUAUAUAAAUAUAUUUACAGAAAAAUUUUUUGACACAUCCAAUACUUAUUUCCCCCACUGGAAUUCAAAGGAACUUCAUCACUGAGUCAUCAGGCAUCAGCAUCCCAUCACAGGAGCACUGAUGUUAAAACACUUCUUUAGAAGUUAACAUGAAGUUAUUUUGAUUUUACUUGGAACCCUUUUCCAGGUCUUCCACAUUUCCUCAGGCAAUUUAUCGUGUUUAUUCUUAUCUACUAAUAAGGGAAUACAUGGCACAAUGUCGUGCUGUUGUAGCAAAAUAAUCGACUAUAACAGCACGUCCUGAAGUGUUUUUUUAUUCCGCUUCCAUCACAGCAACUUGCCAUAUGAUUGUCAUCUACUAAAGAAUCACACCUCAUACUUUUUUUUUAAUCCGUUUUCAGUUACAGUUAUUGUGGUAGAACACUCGUCGCCUCAACAGACAAGAAACCGCAAAGCAUAAAACCUCCUCUGUUCCAAGGACGUUCCUGUUACGGCUUUACCUGACUGUUGCAAAGUGCUGACACUGGAGACUCCUUCCAUAAUCGUGAAAUGGAAGAAAACUUCAUAUUUACGAUUACACUGUAAAGACAUUACAAAUGCUGUGACUUUGCCUGUUGUUGAUCUUCAUGCAAAGGGGAAAUGUAUUUCAGUUCUGGAAAGUCUGUAGUUUUCAGACCUAGUCAAAAUUUCACCAUGUGAAGGAUUUCCCCAAGUCUACACACACACACACACACAUACACACAGAGGCUGGUGGUUCAGUCAUUUGUUCAUUUGAAACACACCUUCUCUGUGUGUAAAUAUCGGGGAGCGUUACAUAUCAGCUCACUUUACUACGUGAGCAAAAACAUGAGCACUUUGCACACAUAAAGCUACAUUGCUUUAAAAAGAUGUCCAGGAUUAUUAGAUGAUGACGUACUGUACUCGGACAUUUAUUGCUUCAGGACCUGUGUUAAACUAGCUAAUUUAGCUACUGUUCAUGACAAAUGAAAGUUUGUAUGUUUAUUGUUAGAUUUCCAUAGGCUUAGCUGUUGUUAAAUAAACCACUGAGAAUACAUUGAUGCAAUUUUAACCUGUAACAAAUGCGAUCUAGUUAACUAGUAGUGACCUAGCUGGCUAGUGAGAAGGGUAGUUAGCUAGCUGGUUAGCUAGUGUUCAUGAUGAUUGUAAUGACAUUUGAGGAUAAAGUCCAGUUCACACCAGACAUGUUCCUGAAGGUUUGUUUUUGUUUUGGUUUUUUUUAAAGUUGCCCGUUUCACAAAACAGAACAUUCUUCAUUUUAAUCAUCGUUGUGAGGUUUGUUUUUAAUGUGCGGAGAAAUCUAUCCUGCUGCGUUUUUGUUGUUGUUGGGUUUUUUGGUUUUUGGUUUUUUUUUUUUUACAUGGUGUUUCUUUUCACUUGUGCAAAUGAAUAAAGCCAAAGUGUAAACUCCAUACAGACCGCUGUUUCACUUUCUGUAAAAGAUUUUAAAUGUAUAACAUACAACGUUAUAACGUAAAUAGAUUGCUUGUUUACUACUAUCUCAUAUUACAUUUUUAAGUAAACUGUUG